AUUGAACGCUGGCGGCAGGCCUAACACAUGCAAGUCGAGCGGAUGAAGGGAGCUUGCUCCUGGAUUCAGCGGCGGACGGGUGAGUAAUGCCUAGGAAUCUGCCUGGUAGUGGGGGAUAACGUCCUGAAACGGGCGCUAAUACCGCAUACGUCCUGAGGGAGCAAGUGGGGGAUCUUCGGACCUCACGCUAUCAGAUGAGCCUAGGUCGGAUUAGCUAGUUGGUUGGGUAAAGGCCUACCAAGGCGACGAUCCGUAACUGGCCUGAGAGGAUGAUCAGUCACACUGGAACUGAGACACGGUCCAGACUCCUACGGGACGCAGCAGUGGGGAAUAUUGGACAAUGGGCGAAAGCCUGGUCCAGCCAUGCCGCGUGUGUGAAGAAGGUCUUCGGAUUGUAAAGCACUUUAAGUUGGGAGGAAGGGCAGUAAGUUAAUACCUUGCUGUUUUGACGUUACCAACAGAAUAAGCACCGGCUAACUUCGUG
Molecule: ribosomal RNA, 484 nt
Filed under: uncultured bacterium
Lineage: Bacteria
Description: partial 16S ribosomal RNA
Rfam family: Bacterial small subunit ribosomal RNA
Source: RNAcentral